RNAcentral lists this long non-coding RNA (235 nucleotides) under Elaeis guineensis (African oil palm). RNAcentral's name for it is "long non-coding RNA (EGUI_LNC072467)". Lineage: Eukaryota; Viridiplantae; Streptophyta; Magnoliopsida; Arecales; Arecaceae. The record is from RNAcentral.
GCGUCAGGGGUCAUUCAGGGCCACGUGGAGUUUGUUACGGAGAGUGGAGUGGCGUUCAUUAUCGCAACUUGCCAGAGAGUGGUAGAGCCGAAGAGUGGAGUGGUGUCCAUUGUCGUGACUUGCUAGAGAGUGGUGGAGCCAUGUGGAAUCCGUUGCAGAGAGUGGAGUAGGGUAGUGGCCAUUGUCGUGACUUGCCAGAGAGUUCGGAUCUGUCGGCUGGAGCUCGACUGGGAUG